CCCUGUAACUUCGGGAGAAAGGGAGCCACGGCGACGUGGCCGCAGAGAAAUGGCCCAGGCGACCGUUUAACAAAAACACAAGGCUAUGCGAAACCGCAAGGUUAGGUAUAUGGCCUGACACCUGCCCGGUGCCGGAAGGUUAAGGGGGGACGUCAUCCGAAAGGAGAAGCGUUGAACCGAAGCCCCGGUAAACGGCGGCCGUAACUAUAACGGUCCUAAGGUAGCGAAAUUCCUUGUCGGGUAAGUUCCGACCUGCACGAAUGGCGUAACGACUUCUCCACUGUCUCCAACGUAGACUCAGUGAAAUUGAACUCUGAGUGAAAAUGCUCAGUACCCGCAGUUAGACGGAAAGACCCCGUGCACCUUUACUACAGCUUCGUAGUGGUAUUAUGAAUGGGAUGUGUAGGAUAGUCAGUAGACAAUGAAGUUCAUGCGCCAGCAUGGAUGGAGUCGCAAAGUGAAAUACUGAUCUUUUUGUUUGUGAUAUCUAACCUUUUUUCUAUAGCGAGGGAAGGGACCCUGCGUGGUGGGUAGUUUGACUGGGGCGGUCGCCUCCCAAAGAGUAACGGAGGCGCGCAAAGGUACUCUCAGAAUGGUUGGAAAUCAUUCAUCGAGCGCAAACGCAGAAGAGUGCUUGACUGCGAGACAUACAAGUCGAGCAGGGACGAAAGUCGGCGUUAGUGAUCCGGCGGUGCAGAAUGGAAUGGCCGUCGCUUAACGGACAAAAGCUACCCUGGGGAUAACAGGCUGAUCUCGCCCAAGAGUUCACAUCGACGGCGAGGUUUGGCACCUCGAUGUCGGCUCAUCGCAUCCUGGAGGUGAAUUCGCUUCCAAGGGUUGGGCUGUCCGCCCAUUAAAGCGGUACGCGAGCUGGGUUCAAAACGUCGUGAGACAGUUUGGUCCCUAUCUGUUGUGGGCGUUGGAAGUUUGAGGAGAGCUGUCCCUAGUACGAGAGGACCAGGAUGGACGUUCCUACGGUGCACCAGUUGUCACGCCAGUGGCACAGCUGGAUAGCUGAGAACGGAUUAGAUAAACGCUGAAGGCAUCUAAGCGUGAAACUAACUUCAAGAUGAGACUUCCCUCACUAUAAGUGAAUAAGACCCCUCAAAGACGAUGAGGUUGAUAGGUCAGAGAUGUAAGUGCGGUGACGCAUUGAGUUGACUGAUACUAAUAGGUCGAAGGUUUAUUCAC
This 1191-nucleotide ribosomal RNA is filed under the name gut metagenome. Its description in RNAcentral is "bacterial LSU rRNA". It matches the Rfam family "Bacterial large subunit ribosomal RNA", at positions 1726 to 2925 of the family's 2925-position model. The record is from RNAcentral.